RNAcentral lists this ribosomal RNA (429 nucleotides) under Verrucomicrobiota bacterium. Its description in RNAcentral is "Verrucomicrobia bacterium partial 16S ribosomal RNA". It matches the Rfam family "Bacterial small subunit ribosomal RNA", at positions 355 to 776 of the family's 1533-position model. Lineage: Bacteria; Pseudomonadati; Verrucomicrobiota. The record is from RNAcentral.
UGGGGAAUCUUCCGCAAUGGACGAAAGUCUGACGGAGCAACGCCGCGUGAGUGAAGACGGCCUUCGGGUUGUAAAGCUCUGUGAUUCGGGACGAAAGGCCAUAUGUGAAUAAUAUAUGGAAAUGACGGUACCUAACCAGAAAGCCACGGCUAACUACGUGCCAGCAGCCGCGGUAAUACGUAGGUGGCAAGCGUUGUCCGGAAUUAUUGGGCGUAAAGCGCGCGCAGGUGGUUUAGAAAGUCUGAUGUGAAAGCCCACGGCUCAACCGUGGAGGGUCAUUGGAAACUAAUAAACUUGAGUGCAGGAGAGAAAAGUGGAAUUCCUAGUGUAGCGGUGAAAUGCGUAGAGAUUAGGAGGAACACCGGUGGCGAAAGCGGCUUUUUGGCCUGCAACUGACACUGAGGCGCGAAAGCGUGGGGAGCAAACAGG